This 8624-nucleotide Piwi-interacting RNA is filed under the name Cordylochernes scorpioides. The stretch from base 4434 to 4512 matches the Rfam family "mir-263 microRNA precursor family". Lineage: Eukaryota; Metazoa; Arthropoda; Arachnida; Pseudoscorpiones; Chernetidae. The record is from RNAcentral.
GUUUAAGAGAUGUUUGCCCUGGGCGGGAGUUGUACGAUCUAGACAAUUGACAAUUUAAACAAUUUUAUUGAUUCUUCUAAUCAAUUUUUACAAAAGUGAAAAAAAUAUAUAUAAUAAAAUAGUAAAUAAAGGGUAGAUAAAAUGUAGGGGAAUAUAUAUAGUUGUGUAUGUGUACAAAUUUCUUCAGUAAGGGAGGCUUCCCCACCUUGUACGAUCUAGAUGUAAGUUAGUCUGUUUUUUCCGCGGCGUUAUUUGAUACUAUCUUCGAAUUAACUUCUUUGUAGUCAGCUUUUAUAUCUGACGGCUCUCUACUUUGUAGCGAGGCAUUCUUGCUCGUUCACUGUUUCUUUAAAACAGUGAGUGGAAUCCGUUAUAAACAGGAAGUCCUUCACGAGGGGCGUGAAACUCGCGGCGGGGCUGGACUGCCCGUUCCAGGAACACCUUCGAUCCGACCGAUGAAUUGUUUAUCAAGAUCGAAGCGACGCAUGCGCGCAGAUAUUUUUAAUGAUCGUAUGACGUGGUCCAUAGAAUUCUAGAAUACAAUAGCCAUCCCGUAGAAAACACCAUUGUGGGGAAUGGACACUCAGGUAGAGCUGGGAUAGAAGUUUGAGUUGCACCCUUAGAAUUAUCCACAUAAACGUGUGUUUGUUUCCAUAUCCCUGGUCUCGUGUAUCUACAGUUGAAGAUGGAAUGUUAUUCAUCUCUAUUUAUUUUAAUCCUAUAGAACGUAUUUCUAUAAUUCGUGAAAUAGAAUUGGGAAGGCUUGGCUCAUCAGUGGUUAAACCUUCCCACCGAUUUCUCCAAUUUACCACUACACGGUACUCAACCGGAUCUAAGCUACACCACCAGAUCUAAGCUACAUUGUAUUGUUUAUUCUGCUUAUAUAUAUUGUCUGUAUUGUAAGGAUUCUUCUUACUGAUGGUGUUUAAAAAACGAAACUAUAAACUAAUCCAUCUGUAAUAUUGUAGAAAAAUUACAAAUAUUUCUGCUUCGAGCACAGCACUUAAAGACACGCCAACAACACGGCUACCUGUUUUGGCAGCAUCAGCAAACAUUGUUGAGGAUGGCAUUAUAAAGUACAUCAAUGAAGACAUCUCGGGCGGCACUGUUUAUUUCCAAGAAACUAUCGAAGACUUCGAUUAGAUUUUUCAUGGCGAGAGGGGGAAUCAUUCAUCAUCAUUAUUGUCAUUUCCUUUUCAGAAAAAGUGGGAUGGCUUUAGAAACAAAUGGAGGUUCUUCAACUAAGAAACCCGAAUUUACACCUCCCUAAACUACCUGUCUUGGGUUUGUUACUGAAUUAUCGUAUCCCUUGAACCGAGGUAAACUUACCUCCCAUCGCACACAUUUUGUGCCUUUUAAAAACCUUUUUUUUUUAUUAUCGUCUUAUAUAGACCCGUCCCAGAGUUCAAAUAAGAAAAAACAACAACAAAUAGGAGCAUGAACAUCAAUAUGUAAAUAGGUAUAAUCAGAUAUAUACAACUCUUGGCCACUGCGUCAUUUCUUCUAGGCAUCUUUCCUUUUUAAACGAUAUUUUUAGUUUUUCUGUUGAACUCUACAAGUAAAUAUAGGACAGUAAAUCAGAAAAACAGCUUGUAUAACUUUGAUUUGUCGCGUUGGUAAGACUGGAAAAUUUUCCCCCCAUUUUGGUGUUUCUAAAUGAGAAGUUUGCGCGCCGCGCCAGUUAAUAACUUCGUAUAAGUUCCGCGGAAGGAAAAAAAAGUUGAUUUUUUCUUCUUUAAAAAGAGAAUCAGUUCGAUUAUGAAGAGAAAAAAUGUUCAGAAUGUCUUUUUGUUCCUCCAUAUACGUCUAGACAUAUAACCGAGUGCUAGGUUACGUGGAAUUUUCUACCAGAGGUGUUGGCUACUCAGAGAAAACAGAUGUUGAUUCCCACAUGCAUCUAUUCUACUUUUGUAUUCUUAUUCCCACCGUUUCAACCACUCCAUACAGCACAGCUCACCCUUCACAAACAAGGAAUAGAAGAUAUGUCCUAAGAAAAUUCACCGCUGAUGAAUCAAGCUCUCUUAUCGAAUUUUUAUACCAUCGUAGCAAGCCAGUCCCAAACGUUUUGACGAUUUAAAUGAAAAUAUUCUUCAUAAAUGUAAUUUAAAAAUGUAUUAACCGAAUGAAAGAAUGUGAAUUACAGUUAAAAUGUUGAUUUGUGGUAUUUUAAAAAAGGUAUUUAGAGAGGAUUUCUUGGUCAGUUUCUACGGGAGGAACCAUCCUUAGGAGGACCUGUUGUGUCAGACAAUGGCCGUCCAUGCGGAACAUCCUGCAUUCUGUCUUCCGCCCCAACAGGAACGAUUAAGGCGGGCCCAAGGAAAGAAAAUAUUGACUGAGGAAGAUAAUAAUUAAUACCAUAAUUUCCAUCCUGGAUUAAGAGCGGCUAUCUAAGCGGGGCCAAUUAGAGCCCUAAUCCCACAGUCCUCAUUAGCUUUUGUUUAAAUCCCUCGGGGAAUUUGCAUCCUCCAGCUUGCCCGCAGGUCCUGGUGCUACAUUCUACAGAAGGUCUACAAGGAAUAUAUGAGUCAGGUGAUAAAUGACAUUCGUUUAAAAAGGAAAGAUGCCUAAAAGACAUGACGCAGUGGUUAUGUAUCUCCACACACACUAAGACUCUAUAUAGCUGACCUAUUUACAUAUUGAUGUUCCUGCUCCUAUUUGUUGCUUGUUUUUUCCUCUUUGAACUCUGGGACGGGUCAAUAUAAGACGAUUAUAAAAAAAAUAUUCUGUAAAAGGCCCAAAAUGUGUGCGAUGGGAGGUAAGUUUACAUCAGUUCAAGGGAAGCGACAAUUCAGCAACAAACCCAAGACAGGUAGUUUAGGGAGGUGUAAAGUCGGGUUUCUUAGUUGAGGAACCUCCAUUUGUUUCUCAAGCCAUCCCUCUGAAAAGGAAAUGACAAUAAUGAUGAUGAAAAAAGAUUUUGUCUGGUUUUUAGUUAGAAGUGGAUAUCGCGCUCUACCAACCCCCGCCUUUUGAACAAUGUAGACAAAGUACGAUUGGCUCUUCGCCAUCUUACACAUAACCCUGUACUGGUGAGGGAGUUAACCCGAAACCAUGUCGUUAUAGCAAUUCUUCAUUCUAUACAGGAACAAUAGACAAAGUAUAUUGUUUUGUUACAUUUUUGAUCGGGAGAAGCAUCCUCUUUGCAAUAGCAAUAUCUUACUCCCGAAAAAUUAUACACUCUGUAUAUCUUUUGAAGAUAUUAAAAUCGACAAAAACAUAUUCUUUUUUUUUUAUUCCAUUGAGGUGGUGCACUUUAGAUGUAUCGCUCUAUAAUAAGUAUAUAUUGAAUAUUUAUUUAGCGCUAAAUGUUCUGUCUAAAUCUCCAAAAGCGUCCCAUAAAAAAAGGCAACGCAAGCUAUAGGUACGACAUCUAUCAACAUCCUACCAUUGGGUAUAGUGCUGCAUACCUGCUCGGUUUAUCUUGGAUAGUGGGCUACCCGGUGCCAUGUGAGGUAGUCGUCUUCAUGGCCACGAGUCUCGCUAGUCUAACAAAUAUACACCGACUUGAUCCAAAAUAAUCUCCAACGACCUUGUUUCUUCUAGCACCGUCGCCUCACUGAACUCUCAACUUUAAUGCUUAAUACGAACUCCGCCUUUGCCGGUCCCAAAACCCGGAUGAAAAAGGACCAGGUGGAGCAGUAACAAGCUCACUAAAAAACCUGGGCUCAGCUGGCCCGGCUGAUAGUACCCUGUUAGGAUUCCUAAUCCAGGGAUACAGGAUGAGCAGCGUUUGUACUCCAUGUUAGGCGAGGCUGCACAUGGCGUCUGUUCCUCAUGUCAGAGGCGGCCAUUUCUUUUAGAGCUAAGUCGGCCUGCCACUGAAUAGUGCUCCCAGUCUUAAUGACAAAGGCAGACGCAUUCUACUUUACCCAGUGUGGAGAUAAGGAAGAAGAAGAUGCUUAAUACGGUUAUUAUCAGAACAUAGCUGGUAUAUCGAGGGUUCCCCGUGUUGUGGUUUCUAAACCAACCUCGAGUCUUCAACCUGGACGACUCCAUUGUUAGCGACCGCGCCUCCCUGACAAAUUUAUGGAAGCGCGCGAUAAAGGUUUGCAACUUCACGAAAAAGGUCACGUGGUGGUAUCUUCAGUUUCAUCGCCGGAACGCCCAUCUCGUUGUUUGCGCGCUGUAACAACCUACUCAAGUGUUAUCUUAAACUGUUUUACAACAAAUCCCCUCUUGUUUUAAACUUUUUUUUUUUAACCAACUUGGGAUGAUCAACCAGAAAACUGCCCAUUUCAAUGUUUCGGGCCAUUAACCCCGUGGGGAAGGAACUCUUGUCUAAUCCCUUUAGAAUUAAGCUAUGAACACUCAUCAUUCUGAUAAUUUCGAAACCUAUUUAUUCUCUUAUAAACCUUCUAAUUAACCUUCAGACCGAUCUUACUUCUAACAACCUGUAUCUUCUCCAAGUGUUGAGCCGUGGACGACCUCCCUACCAUAUCCGGCCUAUGGCACUGGAAGAAUUCACGGCUGGAAGUCAACCCGUGGUUUCUCCGGUGCUAUUGACCGUGUGUGGCGCCCCGUGGUCGGCCACUCUCUCUCUAUACUGACUUUCUUUCCACUAACUCAAGAACUUUCCACUCUGACACCUCCUAAUAACUCAAGAACUUCUCACUGUGAUACCUCCUAACCCAAGAACGUUCCACUUUGACACCCCCUACUAACUCAAAAACUUUCCUAUCAUUCCACUUACUGGCUCAAGAACUUUCCACUGACACCUCUUACUGGCUCAAGAACUUUCCACUGACACCUCUUACUGGCUCAAGAACCUUCCACUGACACCUCUUACUGGCUCAAGAACUUUCCACUGACACCUUUUACUGGCUCAAGAACUUUCCACUGACACCUCUUACUGGCUCAAGAGCUUUCCACUGACACCUCUUACUGGCUCAAGAACUUUCCACUGACACCUCUUACUGGCUCAAGAACUUUCUACUUAUUCCUCUUACUGGCUCAAGAAAAUUCCACCUUUUCCUCUUACUGGCUCAAGAACUUUCCACUGACACCUCUUUCUGGCUCAAGAACUUUCCACUUACACCUCUUACUGGCUCAAAAACUUUCCGCUGGUACCACAAACAAACCUUCCACUGAUACCACUCCCUACCAACUUAGAGGCACUUUCACACAUUUGAACUUCUACCCAGCCCUCCUCCUGGUAUCGAUUCCCACAUUGUAGCCACCAACAUACUGACCAAACUUGCUGUGAACGAAUGAAAGCAACACUAGAGCUGGGUACGGCCUGUAUGUAAUUCGCGCCGAUCCAAUUGUAGAUCUGGCCGCCGCGCCGGGUUAUUAAAGUGCUGAUAACCCGUUUUUUUCUUUACCCUUUAAUCGGCGGGGAUUGAAUCGCCGGCCAUCUGUCAGGUGAUGUCAUUCACGAGCCGUACACCUGAAUACCGUACUCACACACCCACUUCUGGAUAUCAUUUGGUGGACUCAUUCGUGGAAUGUCGCACUUUGACUUUUAGACCGUUUCGAUUAUACCAAUGUAUUCGGAACAAGGAUUUUGUCUUUCACUCCGCGGGAUCAUAAUCCAGUUCGUAUAAAACAAGAGGUAGGUGUCAGUUCUAUAGGAAAAUUAUUCCAACAUUCAAGAGGGUUAACCAUUGCUUUUCAACCAUCCAUCGGAUUAUUGGAUGAAGAUAUUCCUGUUCUAUUAGAGCUUCCUUUUUAUGGAUAGUCUUUUGAUAUAAUAUUAUAGAGUCUUCUCCCGAAAUUGUCCAUGAAUUACAUUCUCGGCUUUCCCGGUCUUCCUUUCUUCCAUACCUUCUCCCUUCAGUAAGAAUACAGUUAACCACUCCGAGUGUCUGACAAGAUGUCCCAACAUGCUCCAUCUCUCAAUCUAGAAUGUCCUCUCCGAAUAUUUCUGGAACAUCUUGGUUAUUCAGUCCUUGGUAUUCUUACCAUUCGUUGCCACAUCUCCUGUAGCUUUAAGGAAAUAGCCGUAGAUAUUGAAGGCUCUCCUAGUAUGAAUAGGAUUUGACCCCAAGUGAGAUACCGACGUUACAACAGUAAAACUAAGACUCGACUCACGUAUAGAUGUAGUUGUUGUUCUUCUAACUGAUGGCACGGUGCCAACCUUAAGUUGUGGGACAAUCCUUGCUUAGCCACAGCUUCUACCGAAUCCUGAUGUAAGUUCAUAUUGAUCAGUAGGUCGGGAAGAAGCUAUUUGGAUCUUAUGUUUCAGGUCUUGUGUCGUCUACUUGGUAAUUUUCAUAUACGAUCGAAAAUGGGCAGUUUUUUUUUUUUUAUUAGGAACCGAUAGAAACGCUUCAUCCAAGAACAGUAAAUCUAUUGUAUUUACUGUUACUUUGUAAGUAUGAGAAAAUAUCUGGGUAAAUUAUCUUUCAUUCUCAAACAAAAUAGAAGAAAAUAGCCUUCAAUCUCACUCAUAGUUUUGUUGUAAGUAAUUUAAAUAUGUUCCCUCUAUGUUCUUUUCGACAUAGCGCUCUUGGAAAUAAUUUAAAGAUAAAAAUAUCGCUAAAAUAAUUUUUAGUCUUUCGAAUAAGACAAGGUGUCGGAGCUUAUCCUACCUAAAGGAGGGGAAAAAAAUCUUAACACUUUGAUUAACGUUUCUAUUUGAGUCUUUCUUAUUUCUAAAAAGUUUUCUAAGGAAAUAAACCACACAAUUUCAAGUUUGUAACCGAGUCCUUCAGUUAUUGAAUUCUAGACAGGAUUAAGCAGAAGACAAUCCCCACGCGUCGUCUGUAGCCUCUUCCUUCAUUACAAUAUUUACAUAUUUACUUGAAUAUGCGCUUACGUCACAGGACAGCAGGCCUGUCUGUGUUUUUUUUUUUUUAUUUGAGGCAAUUGGUUUUUUCUUCUAUUGGCGAAUCACGAUUGUAAGGAAUGUAUUUAUUUUAUUUAAAGUCAAUUAGAACAUUUAAGAGAUUUGUGUUCCACCGAAGUACUACACAAAUUUCAUCUAGAUGUAUAUAUAAACAAUUUAAAGUCAAAGUUAACAUUAGGUAUAAAUAGUAAAAAAAUAAUAUACCUUUUAAAAACACAAUAAUAUUGCUAUUUACAUUAAAGAUAUAUACAAGUAAUAAUUUUACAAUUGAAUUGUAUCAAUUUUUAUAGAUUUUAUAGUUUUAUAUUUAUAAUACAUCUCUGUAGUAGUAGGUCAUUUAAAGAGAAGUACAAAAUAGAGAUAGUGUGGCAAUCUUUAGAAAGAUAUUAUUUUAAAAUGGAAUGCACAGACAAAAUCUACAUUCAUGACCAGCUCGGAAUCUCGCCUCAAUUCACUCGAAGUUUUAAAGGCGAAAGAAGAAAGUAUAACCAUAUAUGUAUCACAGUAUGUACUAUUGUAUAUAAUAAGUACAUAGGUAAAUGAUCCUAAGUGUGCCUAGAAGUGUUGGAAGUAUGUGCCAUAGGAUUGUUGAUAGCUGCCACCACACAAGACCAUAACACACGCCGACCGGCCGACCUAACCCGUUGGUGACCUUUGGGAAUCUCCCUCCCUCCCUCCGCUCUUCCUCCUUCCUUCUUCCUCUUUGCCGGCUUCCUGUUUCCACUGCCUCGUCUCCAAACACCCGUUGCCUACUUCUCCCAACUGAUGCUGCAUCGCCUCCCAACACCAGAACACCCGCUGCCUCGUCUCCCAACUCCCGCUGCAUCGUAUCCCAACUCCCGCUGCAUCGUAUCCCAACUCCCGCUGCAUAAGACUCCCAACUCCCGCUACCAACGCUCCCAACUCCCGUUGCUUCGUCUCCCAAUUCCCGCUGCCUCGUCUCCCAACACCCGCUGCAUCGUAUCCCAACUCCCGCUGCAUCGUCUCCCAACACCCGAACACCUGCUGCAUCGUCUCCCAAUUCCCGCUGCAUCGUAUCCCAACACCCGAACACCCGCUGCAUCGUAUCCCAACUUCCGCUGCAUAAGACUACCAACUCCCACUACCAACGCUCCUAAAUUCCGCUGCCUUGACUCCCAACUCUCUCUGCCUUGUCUCCCAACACUCGUUACCAUCGCUCCCAACUCCCGCUACCUAUUACUCCUCUUACUUUUCCAUUUUGUUUUCACGUGAUUUACUUUAUAUAUUCAAAUUUGGCCUUAACUACCCUUUUCCUCAUUUUCAGGAAGAAUCUUGUGCCAGCCUUUGUGGUCGUCCGAAACGCGUACGAGGUUGACUGGCCAAUAUUACCAAAUUAGCCGAAAUCAACCUUUCUUUUAUAUUAUUUUUUCGCUAGAAGCUCAUUUGAGCCGACAAGAUAUGACAUUUUUUAUAUAGUUCAUCUAUAUAUUAUAAAAUAUAUAAAUAUUCUUUGACAAUCUUUUUUUUAAUGUUUUACCAUUGAACAGCGAGGAAUAGUCGUCGCCUAUCCUGGCUGUAUACACUGAGGAAAUGUUAAACGGAGGAAUACUCGGACGUGCCGAAAUAUAUCAUUCUUCAAUGAGUAUCAUAUCCAAGGGCAUCGAAGUUUGAAGUCUUUAGCGCACUUUUUAAUUAACAACAAUUCCCGACAGUCCCUCAUGUAAAUGGGUACCAGUGUGUCGGAACUUGUACUGGUUAGUGGUGGUUCAAUGUAAUAUGAGGGAGUUGGGAGGGAGACGACAACUCAAGGACCAUUUUACCUCAUUGGUGUGUGCGUGUAUUAGUAAUUUUACAACAAGGCGAUAAACAUGGAAUA